AGCCAGAACGCCAGGGGCGGGGCCUCCGCGCCUGCGCAGUGGAGCUGGGCGCCCUUGGCGCUUGAGCUUCUGAGGGUCCGGUCCCGCGCGAGGGCUACCGGAUGGCGGAACCCCAGGCGGAGUCGGAGCCCCUGCUGGGCCGGGCCCGCGGCGGUGGCGGCGACUGCCCGGCGGGGCUGGCCACUUACCGCAGCAUCCAAGUCGGCCCUGGUGCCACGGCCAGGUGGGACCUCUGCAUUGAUCAGGCUGUGGUCUUCAUCGAAGAUGCUAUUCAGUAUCGCUCCAUCAACCACCGGGUGGAUGCCAGCUCCAUGUGGCUUUACCGACGGUAUUACUCGAACGUAUGCCAACGGACUUUGAGCUUCACCAUCUUCUUGAUCCUGUUUUUGGCUUUUAUCGAGACCCCAUCCUCGCUCACCAGCACGGCGGACGUGCGCUACCGCGCUGCCCCCUGGGAGCCGCCCUGCGGCCUGACCGAGAGUGUCGAGGUGCUCUGCCUGCUGGUCUUUGCGGCCGACCUCUCUGUGAAGGGUUACCUGUUUGGGUGGGCCCAUUUCCAGAAAAACCUUUGGCUGCUGGGCUACCUCGUGGUGCUGGUGGUGUCUCUGGUGGACUGGACCGUGUCCCUGAGUCUCAUGUGUCAUGAGCCCCUGCGGAUCCGCCGGCUCCUCCGCCCCUUCUUCCUGCUGCAGAACUCCUCUAUGAUGAAGAAGACCUUGAAAUGCAUCCGCUGGUCGCUGCCGGAAAUGGCCAGCGUUGGGCUGCUGCUGGCCAUCCACCUGUGCCUCUUUACCAUGUUUGGGAUGCUGCUGUUCGCCGGUGGGAAGCAGGAUGAUGGGCAGGACAGGGAGAGGCUGACCUACUUCCAGAACCUGCCUGAGUCUCUGACUUCCCUCCUGGUGCUGCUGACCACGGCCAACAACCCCGAUGUGAUGAUUCCUGCGUAUUCCAAGAACCGGGCCUAUGCCAUCUUCUUCAUAGUCUUCACUGUGAUAGGAAGCCUGUUUCUGAUGAACCUGCUGACAGCCAUCAUCUACAGUCAGUUCCGGGGCUACCUGAUGAAAUCUCUCCAGACCUCGCUGUUUCGGAGGCGACUGGGAACCCGGGCUGCCUUUGAAGUCCUGUCCUCCAUGGUGGGGGAGGGAGGAGCCUUCCCUCCUGCAGUUGGGGUGAAGCCCCAGAACUUGCUGCGGGUGCUUCAGAAGGUCCAGCUGGACAGCUCCCACAAACAGGCCAUGAUGGAGAAGGUGCGUUCCUACGGCAGUGUUCUGCUCUCAGCUGAGGAGUUUCAGAAGCUCUUCGACGAGCUUGACAGAAGUGUGGUUAAAGAGCACCCGCCGAGGCCCGAGUACCAGUCUCCAUUUCUGCAGAGCGCCCAGUUCCUCUUUGGCCACUACUACUUUGACUACCUGGGGAACCUCAUCGCCUUGGCAAACCUCGUGUCCAUUUGCGUGUUCCUGGUGCUGGAUGCAGAUGUGCUGCCUGCUGAGCGUGAUGACUUCGUCCUGGGGAUUCUCAACUGCAUCUUCAUCGUGUACUACCUGUUGGAGAUGCUGCUCAAGGUCUUUGCCCUGGGCCUGCGAGGGUACCUGUCCUACCGCAGCAACGUGUUUGACGGGCUCCUCACCAUUGUCCUGCUGGUUUUGGAGAUCUCAACUCUGGCUGUGUACCGAUUGCCACACCCAGGCUGGAGGCCGGAGAUGCUGGGCCUGCUGUCGCUGUGGGACAUGACCCGCAUGCUGAACAUGCUCAUCGUGUUCCGCUUCCUGCGCAUCAUCCCCAACAUGAAGCCUAUGGCCGUGGUGGCCAGUACCGUCCUGGGCCUGGUGCAGAACAUGCGUGCAUUUGGCGGGAUCCUGGUGGUGGUCUACUAUGUAUUUGCCAUCAUUGGGAUCAACUUGUUUAGAGGCGUCAUUGUGGCUCCUCCUGGAAACAGCAGCCUGGCCCCUGCCAAUGGCUCGGCGCCCUGUGGGAGCUUCGAGCAGCUGGAGUACUGGGCCAACAACUUCGAUGACUUUGCGGCUGCCGUGGUCACUCUGUGGAACUUGAUGGUGGUGAACAACUGGCAGGUGCUCCUGGAUGCGUAUCGGCGCUUCUCGGGCCCGUGGUCCAAGAUCUAUUUUGUAUUGUGGUGGCUGGUGUCGUCUGUCAUCUGGGUCAACCUGUUUCUGGCCCUGAUUCUGGAGAACUUCCUUCACAAGUGGGACCCUCGCAGCCACCUGCAGCCCCUUGCUGGGUCCCCGGAGGCCACCUACCAGAUGACCGUGGAGCUCCUGUUCAGGGAUAUUCUGGAGGAGCCCAGGGAGGAUGAGCUCACGGAGAGGCUGAGCCAGCACCCGCACCUGCGGCUAUGUAGGUGAUGUCCGGGCUGCCGUCCCAGCGGGGGCGGCAGGAGAGAGAGGCUGGCCUACAUAGGUGCUCGUCAUGGAAGAGGCAGCUAUGCUGUGGCCAGCCGGGCAGGAAGAGACCUUUCCUCUGACGGACCACUAAGCUGGAGACAGGAACCAAGUCCUUUGCGUGCGGCCCAACAACCAUCUACAGAACAGCUGCUGGUGCUUCAGGGAGGCGCCAUGCCCUCCGCUUUCUUUUAUAGCUGCUUCAGUGAGAAGAGAAUUCCCUCGCCAACUCCACAGGGACCUUCCAGACAAAAAAGCAAGAAGCAGCAGCCUCCCCUGUCCCCUGCAGCUUCUGUGGUGCCUUUGCUGCCGGCGGCCCUUGGGGACCACAGGCCUGACCAGGGCCUGCACAGGUUAACCGUCAGACUUCCGGGGCAUUCAGCUGGGAAUGACACUAAUACCUCCAAUUUCAGCCCAGCACCACAGGGUACGUUCCAGUUUUCUCUCUUUCCAUAGUUGUAAGGCCCUUUCUGGGAACGGUUCUCAUUCUCCUUAAUUGAUUAUUGGGUCAGUUUUCCUGCAUGUCACCAGCCUCCCAUCCCUGUCACCCACUCCCCACAGAGAGGCCCUGCUCAUCCGACUGGGGCUUUGACUCCCACACUGUGUGCCCCUCUUUUGUGGACGCCCUGCUGCCAAAACCUUCAGCAAACAGCUUUCCAAAUGGAAGUUGUCACUGUCAGGGCCUUUACAAUCAGGAACAGCAAAAUCUACAUGCUGCUGAGGGUCCUGUCUCAUUAAGAUGCAAUAAAUAUGCAAGUACAUAAAAACAGCAAUAGAA
Molecule: RNA transcript, 3174 nt
Organism: Nomascus leucogenys (northern white-cheeked gibbon)
Lineage: Eukaryota; Metazoa; Chordata; Mammalia; Primates; Hylobatidae
Gene: TPCN2
Gene name: two pore segment channel 2
Exons: 26
Source: RefSeq, a predicted model, not a curated record